RNAcentral lists this microRNA (21 nucleotides) under Citrus sinensis (sweet orange). RNAcentral's name for it is "csi-miR167a-3p". Its record names the gene csi-miR167a-3p. Lineage: Eukaryota; Viridiplantae; Streptophyta; Magnoliopsida; Sapindales; Rutaceae. RNAcentral also lists the same sequence under 1 other name. The record is from miRBase by way of RNAcentral.
AGAUCAUCUGGCAGUUUCACC